Molecule: ribosomal RNA, 508 nt
Filed under: uncultured bacterium
Lineage: Bacteria
Description: partial 16S ribosomal RNA
Rfam family: Bacterial small subunit ribosomal RNA
Source: RNAcentral
AUUGAACGCUGGCGGCAUGCCUUACACAUGCAAGUCGAACGGCAGCGGGGGAGAAGCUUGCUUUUCCUGCCGGCGAGUGGCGAACGGGUGAAUAAUACAUCGGAACGUGCCCUGUAGUGGGGGAUAACUAGUCGAAAGAUUAGCUAAUACCGCAUACGACCUGAGGGUGAAUGUGGGGGACCGCAAGGCCUCAUGCUAUAGGAGCGGCCGAUGUCUGAUUAGCUAGUUGGUGGGGUAAAGGCCUACCAAGGCGACGAUCAGUAGCUGGUCUGGGAGGACGAUCAGCCACACUGGGACUGAGACACGGCCCAGACUCCUACGGGAGGCAGCAGUGGGGAAUUUUGGACAAUGGGCGAAAGCCUGAUCCAGCAAUGCCGAGUGUGUGAAGAAGGCCUUCGGGUUGUAAAGCACUUUUGUCCGGAAAGAAAUGGCUCUGGUUAAUACCUGGGGUCGAUGACGGUACCGGAAGAAUAAGGACCGGCUAACUACGUGCCAGCAGCCGCAGUAA